RNAcentral lists this ribosomal RNA (467 nucleotides) under uncultured bacterium. RNAcentral describes it as "partial 16S ribosomal RNA". It matches the Rfam family "Bacterial small subunit ribosomal RNA", at positions 28 to 506 of the family's 1533-position model. The record is from RNAcentral.
GACGAACGCUGGCGGCGUGCUUAACACAUGCAAGUCGAACGGAAAGGCCCUGCUUUUGUGGGGUGCUCGAGUGGCGAACGGGUGAGUAACACGUGAGUAACCUGCCCUUGACUUUGGGAUAACUUCAGGAAACUGGGGCUAAUACCGGAUAGGAGCUCCUGCUGCAUGGUGGGGGUUGGAAAGUUUCGGCGGUUGGGGAUGGACUCGCGGCUUAUCAGCUUGUUGGUGGGGUAGUGGCUUACCAAGGCUUUGACGGGUAGCCGGCCUGAGAGGGUGACCGGCCCCAUGGGGACUGGGAGACGGCCCAGACCCCCACGGGGGGCAGGGGGGGGGAAUUUUGCCAAAUGGGCGGAAGCCGGAUGCAGCAACGCCGGGUGGGGGAGGACGGCCUUCGGGUGGUAAACCGCUUUCGCCUGUGACGAAGCGUGAGUGACGGUAAUGGGUAAAGAAGCACCGGCUAACUCCGU